This 250-nucleotide unclassified non-coding RNA is filed under the name plant metagenome. RNAcentral describes it as "partial contains small subunit ribosomal RNA, internal transcribed spacer 1, and 5.8S ribosomal RNA". The stretch from base 180 to 250 matches the Rfam family "5.8S ribosomal RNA", at positions 1 to 55 of the family's 154-position model. The record is from RNAcentral.
GUAGGUGAACCUGCGGAAGGAUCAUUAAAAAUGAAGCCGGGAAACCGGUCCUUCUAACCCUUGAUUAUCUUAAUUUGUUGCUUUGGUGGGCCGCGCAAGCACUGGCUUCGGCUGGUUAGUGCCCACCAGAGGACCACAACUCUGUAAUAAAUGUCGUCUGAGUACUAUAAAAUAGUUAAAACUUUCAACAACGGAUCUCUUGGUUCUGGCAUCGAUGAAGAACGCAGCAUCUGACUGACUUCAACUAAUG